Molecule: long non-coding RNA, 894 nt
Organism: Nycticebus coucang (slow loris)
Lineage: Eukaryota; Metazoa; Chordata; Mammalia; Primates; Lorisidae
Exons: 3
Source: RefSeq, a predicted model, not a curated record
AGCCCUUCCAGAUCACCCUCAGGCCAAUUACCCUGAGGCUUCCAUCUCUUAAGCUUUGGGGGAAAAUUGGUGCUCUCGAGGCGGGGACCGAGGUGUGAGGGGGUUGAAUAGCUGAUGGGUGUCAUAGUUCGCACGUUGCUGUCACCAGGAAAGCAGUUUCAUAGUGGGCAAUGCUCCAUCACUGUUUCUGUUGCGAUCUUUUGCAUCGAUCGGUCCCAUGUUUGGUGACCCGCUCAGGAAACCUGGAAAACUUUUUUUUUUUUGCAGUUUUUGGCCGGGGCUGGGUUUGAACCCGCCACCUCCAGCAUAUAAGGCCGGUGCCCUACCCCUUUGAGCCACAGGCGCUGCCCUGGAAAACUUUUUUUUUUGUAAAACGUGAAAUAGACUUUGUAGAUGGAGAGAUCAAGAGAAGACAUUGCCUCACAAAGGGCGAGGACCCACUCUUCUAUCCCUGUUUUGAGUUAUGACAACAUGAUGUGGACUGAGACGGCAGUGGGAGAGGUGGAGAAGAGACCUGAGUUCCGACUGCAAUGAGUCUGCUCUUCCUCGGGCUGGUCUUAAAGUCCUGGCCUCAAGUCUUCCAAAGUGGUGGGAUUACAGGCACAGAGUCUCACCUUAUCGCCCUUGGUAGAGUGCCAUGGCGUCACACAGCUCACAGCGACCUCCAACUCCAGGGCCCAGGCGAUUCUCCUGCCUCAGCCUCCCGAGCACCUGGGACCACAGGCACCUGCCACAACGCCCGGCUAUUUUUUUGUUGCAGUUUGGCCGGGGCUGGGUUUGAGCCCGCCACCCUCGGUAUAUGGGUCCGGCGCCCUACCCACUGAGCCACAGGCGCCGCCUGAAAAAGAUACUUACUUUUAAUUCAAUGAAAAAUUAAAAUACUUGAUUUCGUUA